Molecule: long non-coding RNA, 379 nt
Filed under: Ananas comosus (pineapple)
Lineage: Eukaryota; Viridiplantae; Streptophyta; Magnoliopsida; Poales; Bromeliaceae
Description: long non-coding RNA (ACOM_LNC014156)
Source: RNAcentral
UAAAAGCUUAUUAGGUUUAUUAGUUAGUUAAUUCCGAUUCAGCAAAAAUUUGAUACGAAUAUAAUAUGCAUAAAAUUCGUUUUCUAACUUUUAAAUUUGAUAAAAAAAAUUAAGCUUAAAAAACGGAUUCAGUAUAAAAUAUAAAAAAUAAUAUAUAAAAUAUAAGAUAAUCUAUAUUUAAACAUAAAAAUUAUAAAUUUUUUAUUCAGAUUUUCAAUAAUUCGGAAAUAAUUCGUGAAUUAUUCGGCUGACACAAAAAUUCACGAAUAAUUUCCUUUCUUUGAAAAAAAAUUUGUAAAUGGACCGUUUAAUUCGGAUUUUCAAUAAUUCGCGAAUAAUUCACAAAUUAACUAACAAAGAUUUAGACCUUUAUAUAUAU